Molecule: long non-coding RNA, 5773 nt
Filed under: Malus domestica (apple)
Lineage: Eukaryota; Viridiplantae; Streptophyta; Magnoliopsida; Rosales; Rosaceae
Description: long non-coding RNA (MDOM_LNC010735)
Source: RNAcentral
UUGCACUUUCGGACCAGUUUUGGAGCAUAUCAAUAAAACUAAAUACUCUUUAUGCCAAUCUUUCUCAUGCUCCUCUUGUUAUAAUGUUUUGAGUCAACUGAAAGCAAAGAGUUGGAUGGGUGGGCAACGAAACCGAAGUUGGUUGGUUGCUCGUAUGACAUUGUGAGCGCACAGAGAAAUUUUUUUGAGAAACUGCUCGUUAGAGCUUAGGGCUGGAUGAUACCAUAUAAUGUUUUGAGUCUGGCUGAAUAGCUUUCAUUGAUUUGUUUACAAGGAAUAAUACAAGAUGAUAUACUAGUCUAGGAGUGACUUUACACGGAAAGUAAUAAAUGAAAACAUGUAAUUAGCAGCAGCUAUCUAUACAAAUUAACAAUUAGAGAUUAUGUAAAAGUCAACGGUUGAUUUGCCUAGCUGGGAUGGUUGAUACCUGGAGGAGAUGGUGUCAUCAUGGCUGGUGUAGGAGUGAUAGAUGGAGAGGAAGAGACUUCCCUUUUACUUCUCAAAUCUUAAUUUUACCCCAUUUUCUUCCCUACAAAAUUGUGAGCAACAGAACUCACAAAUACGUACAGUUUAUACACACCUAUAGACGCACCAUUUUGAACAUUUAUAUUGUUAGUGUAGAUGAAUUCACGGGUUUUGAUCUAGAGAAAGAGAGCUGGACGGAGAACAAACAAGGAACACAGAGGAAGCUGAAUGGUUUCUUUUCUCUUUGUCAAAGUUGCAGAGGAAUAUUUUCUGUGUAUUUUAAAGAGCACAAAGCACAUUUUACAUAACUGUUGGCCUUAAACUUGGGACCACACAUACACUACAUUUCAUCUUAGUCACUCAUCUACCUAAUUACAUGGAUCAACCAACACAUGGCACUCAUGGCCUUUUACAAAACAGAACUUUACACUUGGCAUUAUUUUGCACAAGUGAAUACACCAAUUUAAACAAUCUUUUCUAAACUUUUCAGCUCAACACUUAUAAUUCAACACUCCCCUUUAAGUUUUGAGCUGAUUUCACUCCAAGCAUUUCCCUGAGAUAGUUGAACCGAUCCUUUGUUAAAGCCUUAGUGAAUAUGUCUGCCACCUGCUCAUUUGUUGGACAGUACACCAUAUCAAUUAUCCCUUCCUGGAGUGCAUUCUUGAUGAAAUGAUACCUUCUGUCAAUGUGCUUGGUUUUCUGAUGAAAAACUGGAUUCUUAGUGAUUGCAAUUACAGCUGUAUUGUCACAGUGCACUGGAGUUGCUUCAGUUUGCAUCUCACCAAAUUCUUCAAGUACAAAUCUAAGCCAUAUGGCUUGAGCAGUUGCUUCAGAGGCACUGAUGUACUCUGCUUCUGCAGUAGAGAGUGCUACACAAUUCUGCUUCACAGAGGCCCACGAGAACACUCCACUGCCAAAAGAAAAUGCAUAACCAGAAGUACUUUUGCUGUCAUCAACAGAUCCUCCCCAAUCACUAUCACAAAAUCCGAUUAACAUUGCAUUCUUUCCUUUUACAUACUUCAGACCAUAGUCUAAUGUUCCCUUGAUGUAUCUAAGCACUCUUUUGGCUGUUCCAAAGUGUUUAUUUGUAGGACAGUGCAUGAAUCGAGCUAGAAGGCUUGCAACAUACAUUAUAUCUGGUCGAGUAGCUGUGAGAUACAACAAACUUCCUAUAAUUCUUCGAUACUGUUCCUCACUUGCUAAACCACUGCCAUCAUCUUUGCAUAACUUCUCUUAUGAAACAAGAGGUGUGAACACAGAUUUACACUCAUUCAACUUAUCCAACAAGGAAGCAGCAUAUUUUCUUUGAUGGAUAAAGAUGCUUGUGUGAGUUUGAAUAACUCCCAUACCAAGAAAAUGGUGAAGAAGUCCCAAAUCUGUCAUCUCAUUUUUUAUCAUCAUGUCUUCCUUGAACUCCUUCAACAUCUUAGUGCUAUUUCCAGUAUACACUAUGUCAUCCACAUAGAUUGAAACAAUUAGAAUUUCUCCUCCCCUUGCUUUGAUGUAAAGAGUAGCUUCACUUUGACUUUUCACAAACCCACAGUGAGCAAAGUAUGUAUCAAUUUCACUAUACCAGGCCCUUGGUGCCUGCUUUAGACCAUACAAAGCUUUAUGAAACUUGUACACCUUGUCUUCACUCCCCUUGAUCACAAACCCAUCUGGUUGUUCUACAUAAACCUCUUCUUCAAGUACUCCAUUCAGAAAAGCAGAUUUCACAUCUAGUUGGUAUAAUUUCCAACUUUUCUGAGCUGCUAAGGCAAUUAGAGUCCGAAUUGUAUCAAGUCUAGCUACAGGGGCAAACGUUUCAUUGUAAUCCACACCUGGUUUCUGAGCAUAUCCCUUGGCUACCAACCUUGCCUUAUGCUUUUGCACUGUCCCAUCAAGAUUAAGCUUGGUCUUGAAUACCCACUUAACCCCAAUUAUAGGUUUAUCACAUGGUCUGUUCACUAGAUCCCAUGUUGCAUUCUUCUCAAUCAUUGACAAUUCAUCUUUCAUAGCUUUCAUCCAUGAUUCAUCUUUAGCUGCCUCUUCAAAUUUUUCAGGUUCCAUAAUGCAAAGAUUGCAUUGUGCUAGAACAUCAUCUAGAUUCCUCCAUCUCAAUGGAGUGUGAUCAAAGGCUUGAGUCUUUCUCAUGCUGCUGUUCACAUCACUUACAGAUUCAUGAGAAGAUACCAGACUUGGUGACAAAGCAUAGUCAUUUCCUACUGGAGUUGUCUCUGAUGAAAUACAUUUAGGCAUCUCAGAUAACUCAUUAUGAUUCAACACAGUUACAUAAUUCUCAGAAGUUUUCUUCCAUUCCCAGGCUGCAUUUUCAUCAAACACUACAUCCCUUAAGAGUAUAAGCUUUUUACUAAGGGGAUCAUACACUCUGUACCCCUUUUCACAGGUUGCAUAACCUACAAAUAUGCCCUUGACACUCUUUGCAUCUAGUUUCUGUCUCAACUCACUUGGUGUAUGUACAUAACAUAAACAACCAAAGAUUCUAAGAUGUGCAAUUCUAGGUUUUCGACCACUGAAUGCUUCAAAUGGAGUUACUUCUCCAAGAGCUCUUGUAGGACACCUAUUCAGUAUGUCGACAGCUGUGAGUACAGAUUCUGCCCAUAAAUAGUAAGGUAGUCCCUUGUCAUGAAGCAUAGCUUUUGCCAUUUCAACUACAGCUCUGUUCUUCCUUUCUACCACUCCAUUCUGUUGUGGAGUAUAAGCCAUAGAAAACUGUCUUUGAAUCCCUGCAUCUUCACACAUUUUGUUGAAUUCACAAGAUGUGAAUUCACCCCCUCUGUCACUUCUCAGACAUUUUACUUUAAAACCACUUUGCAACUCCACCAUGGAUUUAAAUUUUCUAAAACAGAUCAAUGCAUCUGACUUGUAUUUCAGAAAAUAAACCCACAUCAUUCUUGUACAGUCAUCUACAAGAAGCAUAAAAUAUUUAUUACCCGCAAGAGAAUCAUUUUGCAUAGGACCACAAAGAUCUACAUGCACCAGCUCUAGAGGUUUGCUUGCUCUCCAUGCCUGAUUCUUUGGAAACCAUUCUCUAUGCUGUUUCCCAAACUGACAGCCUUCACAAACUUCAUCCAUUUCUUCUAAAACUGGAAGACCAUGCACCAUUUCUUUGUUCUUAAGCUGUUGAAAACCUCUAAAAUGCAGAUGGCCUAGUCUCUUGUGCCAUAUCCAAGUAGACUUAAAGAUACUUGCUCUUAGUACAACCUGAUCAUUUGGUAUCAGUGUCAAAGGAUAACACCUGUUCUUUUUCAUUUCAACUUUGAGUACCAGACAAUCCAAUGAAGGACCAUCAAAGAUACUACACAUAUUUCCCCCAAAUACCAUGUAGUAACCGUGUUUAUCCAUCUGACCCACACUUAACAAGUUUUCCUUCAAACCAGGUAGGUACAUUACUUCCUUGACAUAUUUUCUGCCUUUGCUUGUGUCUAUCACAAGUGUACCAAAACCUGCCACAUUCAUAAGUUCUCCUAUGGGCAUUUGAGCCUUGCCAACCACAUUUGUCUUCAUGUCUAUCAACAACUUUGGAUCCCCUAUCAUAUGGUUGCUACAACCACUGUCAACAUACCAUUCUCCAUUCACUUUUGAUUCAGUGAUUGUGCUAUUUGCAUAAAACAAGUUCCCUGUCACCUCAACUUGAUUAGCACUAUUUGCCUUUUGCACUGAUUUACCUACUGUGCACUCUCUAGCCCAGUGUCUAAACUUUUCACAGUUAUAGCAUUUGGGUUUCCCUUUAUACCUACAUUCUCCAAAAUGAAACUUAGAGCAUACCCUGCACUGUGGUUUUAUACCUAUCUAAUCCAUUGACUGUGCAUUAUGUGCAGAAUUAGCAGGAAAUUUCUGCUGAAACUUGGGUUUUGAACCCCAUUUCUUGCCCUUAUUAUUCCAAUUCUUCUGGAACUGAGAUGAACCAGAUUGACCUUCGCCCCUAUUUUGCUCCUUUGAACUCACUGAGAAAGAUAAGAAUGCUUUCCCGGUAGUAUCAACAGUAUGCAGAUCAAACCGUUGUUCUUGACUCUUUAAGAUUGCAACUACCUCCUGCAAUUCUACAAUCUCUAGACACUUUGUGUUUUCUAUAACCAAACAGAUAGAAUCAUAAGGUUUACUAAGACUAAUCAGAACCUUCUGCACAAGUCUCUCAUUCGACAAAGAUUCACCAAAUGUUCUCAUCUAAUUAAUUAGUUCAUUCAACCGUGUAAGAUAGCUAGAUAAAGACUCAUCAUCUCGCAUCCUAGCAUAUUCAAAUUCUCUUUUAAGAUUCUGCAAUUUCACAGAUCGUACCUGAUCACCACCAUGAUAUUCUCCGUACAACAAAUCCCAUGCCAUCUUAGCUGACUCGGCAUUGGCAAUUCGUGGGAAGAUUUGAUCCGAGACUAUAUUCUGAAUGGUUCCCAAAGCCUUUGCGUCUUUCAUCAAAGCAGCUACCAUUUCUUCAUCAUCCUCCGAUGCUUCUCCAGCUUCCUUCUUCUUCGGAUUGGAGGUUGUAAUCCCCUUCUCUACCAGAUUCCAUAACCCAAGAGAUUUGAAUAUUGUUGCCAUUUUAAUUCUCCAGAACUCGUAGUUCUCACCGGAGAAAACUGGAGUCCUCACUUCCAAGCCUCCAGAUCCAGACAUGUUUUUUAUCUGAAUCGACAACCUUCACGGAGCUUCAAGAGAGCUUCGAUUUAGCUCAAUAACUUCACAGAUUUACGCCCAGAUGGUUAAAUCCAACCUAGCUCUGAGGCCAUGUUAGUGUAGAUGAAUUCACGGGUUUUGAUCUAGAGAAAGAGAGCUGGAUGGAGAACAAACAAGGAACACAGAGGAAGCUGAAUGGUUUCUUUUCUCUCUGUCAAAGUUGCAGAGGAAUAUUUUCUGUGUAUUUUAAAGAGCACAAAGCACAUGCUUUUACAUAACUGUUGGCCUUAAACUUGAGACCACACAUACACUACAUUUCAUCUUAGUCACUCAUCUACCUAAUUACAUGGAUCAACCAACACAUGGCACUCAUGGCCUUUUACAAAACAGAACUUUACACUUGGCAUCUUAUUCUAAACUUUUCAGCUCAACACUUAUAAUUCAACAUAUACACAACCAGACUAUUCAAAUUCUUUCGAAAUCUUUCAAUGGGGAGUCUCGUACGCCUAUACAGCCCCUUAGAGUUCUCUACCUGCCAACUUUCUAGCAAACCAUUUUCAACAUACUACUAGAUAGUAGAUAACACAGUUAUAACCAAGUGCCACACCAUUUUAUGAAACCGAAGGCUUCCCGUUACAACCCAUACACAAGUGGAAGUGUUCGGCUAGAGUUUUGGCGAUAUCCAUCAUCUCAAAGA